Molecule: ribosomal RNA, 1197 nt
Filed under: Triticum aestivum (bread wheat)
Lineage: Eukaryota; Viridiplantae; Streptophyta; Magnoliopsida; Poales; Poaceae
Description: partial small subunit ribosomal RNA
Source: RNAcentral
AUGGCGGCGGCCGGCGCACCGCCGCCGCGCGCCUUCUCCGCGGAGCUGAGGAGGGCUCCGCUCUCCGCGGGCCUCGCGCCGCCGCGGCAGGGGACCAGGGCUCGCGCGUCGUGGCCCCUCCCCCGCCAGGAAACUGUUUGUAGUCGUGGCCGGUUGAUAUCGACCAUGUCUAGUUCAAGGUCAUUGGCGUGCUCUCCUUGUCGUUGCGCUCAGGUGGCUUUGGCUGACGCAGAGAUUGCUUACCAGCCUGAGGCUGAGAAGCAUGCUGGAGUUCUGGCCUAUGAACUGGUUCAAGGGAACCUUGUACAAUGGAACUCUUUUAUGGACAAAUCAAUACCUGAUCCACCAACAGCUGUACUCCUUCAUGGCAUCCUUGGGAGCGGGAAAAACUGGGGGUCGUUUGCAAAGAGGUUAGCUCAGGAAUUUCCAAUGUGGCAGUUUCUUUUGGUUGAUUUGCGUUGCCACGGUGACUCGGCAUCAAUUAAGAAAAGAGGACCACACACUGUUGCUUCCACUGCUUUUGACGUUCUAAAGCUGAUAGGGCAACUCAGGCUGUCUCCUCGAGUGUUGGUUGGUCACAGCUUUGGUGGAAAAGUGGCUUUGAGUAUGGUAGAUCAAGCUGCAAAACCACUUGCCCGUCCUGUCAGGGUAUGGGUUCUUGAUGCUACUCCUGGCAAAGUUCGUUCUGGGCUAGAUGGCGAAGAUCAUCCCGCUGAACUUAUUGAUUUCCUCAGAAGAAUGCCUGUGCAGGUUAAUUCAAAGCAGGAAGUUGUUGAUGCUCUAGUUAAAGCAAAGUUUUCUGUGGAUGUUGCACGGUGGGUGGCAACAAAUCUCCGACGGAGCAGCCCAUCAGGACCACGAUCUUCUACAAGCUACUCAUGGAUAUUCAACUUAAAUGGCAUCUCUGAGAUGUACAAGUCCUAUGAAGACACUAACCUAUGGAGGAUUGUAGAGAACGUACCGCGCGGGGUACACAUUAAUUUCCUCAAGGCUGAAAGAAGUUUGCAUAGAUGGGCCCUUGAAGACCUUCAGAGAAUUCAUACCGCGGAGGAGGUGGCUGCCGAUGAGGCUGGGGGAGUUGAAAUGCAUGUGCUUGAAGAUGCUGGACACUGGGUUCACGCAGAUAACCCUGACGGGCUCUUCAGAAUCCUUUCGUCAACCUUCCGCAUCGAGACCAGCCUAAGAGGGCGGGAGUGA